Xiphias gladius (swordfish) is the source of this 1260-nucleotide RNA transcript. It is a transcript of the gene named LHFPL tetraspan subfamily member 5a, with no coding region annotated. Lineage: Eukaryota; Metazoa; Chordata; Actinopteri; Istiophoriformes; Xiphiidae. The record is from RefSeq and is a predicted model, not a curated record. The transcript has 2 exons.
UUGGAAGCAGUAUAAAUGAGCAAGCAUAAAUAUCUGAGUGACUUUUAAAAGGGGCCAAAUUGUGAUGGCUAGAAGCCUGGGUUAGGGCAUCUCCAAAAUGGCAGCCCUUUGGGGAGUUCCCGGUAUGCAGUGGAGAGUACCUACCAAAAGUGGUCCAAGGAAGGACAACCAGUGACCCGACGACAAGCUGGUGUGAUCCCAUUGCAAAAUGGUCCCUGGUUUACGUCAUGUGGAGGGCCGGGUGUUUACCUGGGGAAGAAAUACAACAAGGAUGCACUAUGGGAAGAGGGCAGGCCGGCGGAGGCAGAGUGAUGGUGUGGGCAAAGAUUUGCUGGGAAACCUUCGGUCCUGGCAUUCAUGUGGAUGUUACUUUGACACGAACCACCUACCUAAACAUUGCUAAAGAUCAACUACACCCCUUAAUGGCAACGGUAUUCCCUGAUUGCAGUGGCCCCUUUCAACAGGAUAAAGUGCCCUGCCACACAAAAAUAGUUCAGGAAUGGUUUGAGGAACAUGACAAAGAGUUCAAGGUGUUGAACUCUUUGGCCUGCAAAUUCCCCAGAUCUCAAAACAAGUCCGAUCCAUGGAGGCCCCACCUCGCAACCUAAGGGAUCUGGUGCCUGAUACCACAGGACACCUUCAGAGGUCUUGUGGCAUUGAUGAGUCAGAGCUAUUUUGGUGGCCGAAGGGGGGAUCUACACAAGUUAGGCAGGUGGUUUCAAUGUUGUCACUGAUCGCUUUACUGUAAAUAUAUAUAUGUAUACAGUAUAUGCAGUAUAUUGUACAGUAAACAAGAUAUAAAGUGUUAAUUUGUGAGUUGUUGCUUAUAGGCAGAUUUUCUUACCUUUGAACAGAGACAAGCUAGCUGUUUCUCUUGUUUGCAGUUGUUAUGCUACACUGAGCUAAAUGAAUGCUGUCAGGAGGCUUUUAUUUAGCGUGAGAUAGGAAAGGAGUAUCGAUCUUUUCAUAUAACACUCAGCACUUAUUCACAAGAAAGUGAAUAAGUGUACUUCCUAAAAAAUGUUUUAAACAUGGGGCAAGAGUAACAACAAGAGUACCCCAGCCAGAAAAGGAACUGUGGAUAUUGCGGUUAUGUGGUAUACCUAUUAACUAUUACGUUACCAGGGCGUCUCCCAAAAUUUUAAAUUAUUGUUUUAAUCUCAAGUACUUAAAGGUGAUAUGAUUUUUAAGAAAAUAAAUAAACACUCACUGCUCUUUUCUCACAGCUCAGCAAAUCAGUUAAAAGAGCACUCCACCAGU